Molecule: ribosomal RNA, 497 nt
Filed under: uncultured bacterium
Lineage: Bacteria
Description: partial 16S ribosomal RNA
Rfam family: Bacterial small subunit ribosomal RNA
Source: RNAcentral
GAUGAACGCUGGCGGCGUGCCUAAUACAUGCAAGUCGAGCGAACAGACGAGGAGCUUGCUCCUCUGACGUUAGCGGCGGACGGGUGAGUAACACGUGGAUAACCUACCUAUAAGACUGGGAUAACUUCGGGAAACCGGAGCUAAUACCGGAUAAUAUAUUGAACCGCAUGGUUCAAUAGUGAAAGACGGUUUUGCUGUCACUUAUAGAUGGAUCCGCGCCGCAUUAGCUAGUUGGUAAGGUAACGGCUUACCAAGGCGACGAUGCGUAGCCGACCUGAGAGGGUGAUCGGCCACACUGGAACUGUGACACGGUCCAGACUCCUACGGGAGGCAGCAGUAGGGAAUCUUCCGCAAUGGGCGAAAGCCUGACGGAGCAACGCCGCGUGAGUGAUGAAGGUCUUCGGAUCGUAAAACUCUGUUAGUAGGGAAGAACAAAUGUGUAAGUAACUAUGCACGUCUUGACGGUACCUAAUCAGAAAGCCACGGCUAACUACGUG